RNAcentral lists this ribosomal RNA (468 nucleotides) under uncultured bacterium. RNAcentral's name for it is "partial 16S ribosomal RNA". It matches the Rfam family "Bacterial small subunit ribosomal RNA", at positions 28 to 507 of the family's 1533-position model. The record is from RNAcentral.
GACGAACGCUGGCGGCGUGCUUAACACAUGCAAGUCGAACGGAAAGGCCCUGCUUUUGUGGGGUGCUCGAGUGGCGAACGGGUGAGUAACACGUGAGUAACCUGCCCUUGACUUUGGGAUAACUUCAGGAAACUGGGGCUAAUACCGGAUAGGAGCUCCUGCUGCAUGGUGGGGGUUGGAAAGUUUCGGCGGUUGGGGAUGGACUCGCGGCUUAUCAGCUUGUUGGUGGGGUAGUGGCUUACCAAGGCUUUGACGGGUAGCCGGCCUGAGAGGGUGACCGGCCACAUUGGGACUGAGAUACGGCCCAGACUCCUACGGGAGGCAGCAGUGGGGAAUAUUGCACAAUGGGCGGGAGCCUGAUGCAGCAACGCCGCGUGCGGGAUGACGUCCUUCGGGUUGUAAACCGCUUUCUCCUGUGACGAAGCGUGAGUGACGGUAAUGGGUAAAGAAGCACCGGCUAACUACGUG